RNAcentral lists this ribosomal RNA (1372 nucleotides) under uncultured bacterium. RNAcentral describes it as "16S ribosomal RNA". It matches the Rfam family "Bacterial small subunit ribosomal RNA". The record is from RNAcentral.
AGGGUUUGAUCAUGGCUCAGAAACGUACGCUGGCGGCACGCCUAAUACAUGCAAGUCGAACGAAGUAGCAAUACUUAGUGGCAGACGGGUGAGUAACAUGUAGGUAUCUUCCCUUUGGUGAGGAAUAACACGAGGAAACUUGUGCUAAUACCUCAUAAGUCUUUACGGAGAAAGCUUUAUGCGCCAUUGGAUGAGCCUGCACUUGAUUAGUUUGUUGGUAGGGUAAUGGCCUACCAAGACAAUGAUCAAUAGCUGAUUUGAGAGGAUGAUCAGCCACAUUGGGACUGAGACACGGCCCAAACUCCUACGGGAGGCAGCAGUAGGGAAUCUUGCACAAUGGGGGAAACCCUGAUGCAGCGAUGCCGCGUGAGUGAAGAAGGCCCUUGGGUUGUAAAGCUCUUUCGUCGGGGAAGAAAAUGACUGUACCCGAAUAAGAAGGUCCGGCUAACUUCGUGCCAGCAGCCGCGGUAAUACGAAGGGACCUAGCGUAGUUCGGAAUUACUGGGCUUAAAGAGUUCGUAGGUGGUUAAAAAAGUUGGUGGUGAAAUCCCAGAGCUUAACUCUGGAACUGCCAUCAAAACUUUUUAGCUAGAGUAUGAUAGAGGAAAGCAGAAUUUCUAGUGUAGAGGUGAAAUUCGUAGAUAUUAGAAAGAAUACCAAUUGCGAAGGCAGCUUUCUGGAUCAUUACUGACACUGAGGAACGAAAGCAUGGGUAGCGAAGAGGAUUAGAUACCCUCGUAGUCCAUGCCGUAAACGAUGUGUGUUAGACGUUGGAAAUUUAUUUUCAGUGUCGCAGCGAAAGCAAUAAACACACCGCCUGGGGAGUACGACCGCAAGGUUAAAACUCAAAUGAAUUGACGGGGACCCGCACAAGUAGUGGAGCAUGUGGUUUAAUUCGAAGAUACGCGCAGAACCUUACCAACACUUGACAUGUUCGUCGCGACUUUAAGAGAUUAAAGUUUUCGGUUCGGCCGGACGAAACACAGGUGCUGCAUGGCUGUCGUCAGCUCGUGUCGUGAGAUGUUGGGUUAAGUCCCGCAACGAGCGCAACCCUCACUUUUAGUUGCCAUCAUUUAGUUGGGCACUCUGAAAGAACUGCCAGUGAUAAGCUGGAGGAAGGUGGGGAUGACGUCAAGUCCUCAUGGCCCUUACGUGUUGGGCUACACACGUGCUACAAUGGCAUUUACAAUAGGAAGCAAGACGGCGACGUUUAGCAAAUCCUAAAAAAAUGCCUCAGUUCGGAUUGUACUCUGCAACUCGAGUACAUGAAGCUGGAAUUACUAGUAAUCGCGGAUCAGCGCGCCGCGGUGAAUACGUUCCCGGGUCUUGUACACACCGCCCGUCACACCAUGGGAGUUGGUUCUACCUUAAG